GAGUGAUUGACGAAGGAGUAUAGCUUCCACCACCAUCACCGUCCACCAUUCAUCGCUAGACCAUUGUCAGGUGCAUCAUUGCUGCCAUCACAGUUGACAGAUGAGCCAUUCCCACCAGUCGCGCCAUUCACCAUUGACAGUCAUCCAAACUUGAUUUCAAAAUUUUCAAUCUCGCUGAAGUGGAUUGAAGGAGUGUAGCUUCUACCACCAUCACCGUCCAUCGUCGUCCGCCAUCAGAUGAGGGGACGCGAAAGGUUUAAGAAGCCCAGAAGGCCGAUUCGACUACCUGACCAUACAAGUCAGGAGGAGCCGACUACAAUUGACGUAACAGAGCAUCAGCCACAGGUACCACGGACAUCGAUGGGACUUACUAAUAUAGAGCUUCAAAUAUGUGUACCACUUGCAUCCGGAGUACAACCAUCUCAUAGUGAUCGAUCAUGUCCACCAGUUCCUCCCUAUACCAUUGCAUUUCCUCCCCGUCCCCUUGCAGCUUCUCCCCGUCCCACUACAGCUCCUACCCGUCCCAUUGCAACUACACGACCUUUGGUAUCACAUUCACAAUCAUCUCAUCUUGCAUUCUCUUUUGCUGCUGCAUCAGCUAGUGCAGCAGGAUCUACAUCAGCUAGUGCAGCAGGAUCUGCAGGUUCGACCACUUUUGUAGGCAG
Molecule: long non-coding RNA, 665 nt
Organism: Manihot esculenta (cassava)
Lineage: Eukaryota; Viridiplantae; Streptophyta; Magnoliopsida; Malpighiales; Euphorbiaceae
Exons: 3
Source: RefSeq, a predicted model, not a curated record